RNAcentral lists this ribosomal RNA (662 nucleotides) under uncultured fungus. RNAcentral describes it as "eukaryotic LSU rRNA". It matches the Rfam family "Eukaryotic large subunit ribosomal RNA", at positions 24 to 664 of the family's 3401-position model. The record is from RNAcentral. Lineage: Eukaryota; Fungi.
CCCGCUGAACUUAAGCAUAUCAAUAAGCGGAGGAAAAGAAACUAACAAGGAUUCCCCUAGUAACGGCGAGUGAAGAGGGAAAAGCUCAAAUUUUGAAUCUGGCGUCAUCUGGCGUCCGAGUUGUAAUCUAGAGAAGUGUUUUCCGUGGCGGACCGUGCACAAGUCUCCUGGAAUGGAGCGUCAUAGAGGGUGAGAAUCCCGUCUUUGACACGGACUGCCAGGGCUUUUGUGAUGCGCUCUCAAAGAGUCGAGUUGUUUGGGAAUGCAGCUCAAAAUGGGUGGUAAAUUCCAUCUAAAGCUAAAUAUUGGCGAGAGACCGAUAGCGAACAAGUACCGUGAGGGAAAGAUGAAAAGAACUUUGGAAAGAGAGUUAAACAGUACGUGAAAUUGCUGAAAGGGAAACGCUUGAAGUCAGUCGCGUCAUCCAGGGAUCAACCUUGCUUUUGCUUGGUGUACUUUCUGGUUGACGGGUCAGCAUCAAUUUUGACCAUUGGAAAAAGAUUAAGGGAAUGUGGCAUACAUAGUGAUGUGUUAUAGCCCUUGGUUGCAUACAAUGGUUGGGAUUGAGGAACUCAGCACGCCGCAAGGCCGGGUUUUUAUUAACCACGUACGUGCUUAGGAUGUUGGCAUAAUGGCUUUAAUCGACCCGUCUUGAAACACGG